UGGGGGAAUAUUGGGCAAUGGGGGAAAACCCUGACCCAGCAACGCCGCGUGAAGGAAGAAGGCUUUCGGGUUGUAAACUUCUUUUACCAGGGACGAAGAAAGUGACGGUACCUGGAGAAAAAGCCACGGCUAACUACGUGCCAGCAGCCGCGGUAAUACGUAGGUGGCAAGCGUUAUCCGGAUUUACUGGGUGUAAAGGGAGCGUAGGCGGCGGAGCAAGUCAGAAGUGAAAGCCCGGGGCUCAAACCCCGGGACGGCUUUUGAAACUGCCCUGCUUGAUUUCAGGAGAGGUAAGCGGAAUUCCUAGUGUAGCGGUGAAAUGCGUAGAUAUUAGGAGGAACACCAGUGGCGAAGGCGGCUUACUGGACUGACAAUGACGCUGAGGCUCGAAAGCGUGGGGAGCAAACAGGAUUAGAUACCCUGGUAGU
This 428-nucleotide ribosomal RNA is filed under the name uncultured Coprococcus sp. RNAcentral describes it as "bacterial SSU rRNA". It matches the Rfam family "Bacterial small subunit ribosomal RNA", at positions 354 to 794 of the family's 1533-position model. The record is from RNAcentral. Lineage: Bacteria; Bacillati; Bacillota; Clostridia; Lachnospirales; Lachnospiraceae.